AACUGGUCUGACUGAAGUGGUGUUUACAACUAAUUGAUCACAACCAGUUACAGGUUUCUUUGUUUCUUCUCCACUCCCACUGCUUCAUUGACUGGCCUAAA
This is an unclassified non-coding RNA of Pan paniscus (pygmy chimpanzee), 101 nucleotides long. It matches the Rfam family "Y RNA". Rfam says of the family: Y RNAs are components of the Ro ribonucleoprotein particle (Ro RNP), in association with Ro60 and La proteins. The Y RNAs and Ro60 and La proteins are well conserved, but the function of the Ro RNP is not known. In humans the RNA component can be one of four small RNAs -- hY1, hY3, hY4 and hY5. NCBI's taxonomy places the organism in Eukaryota, Metazoa, Chordata, Mammalia, Primates, Hominidae. The record is from Ensembl.